RNAcentral lists this ribosomal RNA (496 nucleotides) under uncultured bacterium. RNAcentral's name for it is "partial 16S ribosomal RNA". It matches the Rfam family "Bacterial small subunit ribosomal RNA", at positions 28 to 506 of the family's 1533-position model. The record is from RNAcentral.
GAUGAACGCUGGCGGCGUGCCUAAUACAUGCAAGUCGAGCGAACAGACGAGGAGCUUGCUCCUCUGACGUUAGCGGCGGACGGGUGAGUAACACGUGGAUAACCUACCUAUAAGACUGGGAUAACUUCGGGAAACCGGAGCUAAUACCGGAUAACAUGUUGAACCGCAUGGUUCAACAGUGGAAGACGGUCUUGCUGUCACUUAUAGAUGGAUCCGCGCCGCAUUAGCUAGUUGGUAAGGUAACGGCUUACCAAGGCAACGAUGCGUAGCCGACCUGAGAGGGGGAUCGGCCACACUGGAACUGAGACACGGUCCAGACUCCUACGGGAGGCAGCAGUAGGGAAUCUUCCGCAAUGGGCGAAAGCCUGACGGAGCAACGCCGCGUGAGUGAAGAAGGUCUUCGGAUCGUAAAACUCUGUUAUUAGGGAAGAACAAAUGUGUAAGUAACUAUGCACGUCUUGACGGUACCUAAUCAGAAAGCCACGGCUAACUACGU